This 814-nucleotide ribosomal RNA is filed under the name uncultured bacterium. RNAcentral's name for it is "bacterial SSU rRNA". It matches the Rfam family "Bacterial small subunit ribosomal RNA", at positions 8 to 830 of the family's 1533-position model. The record is from RNAcentral.
AGAGUUUGAUCAUGGCUCAGGAUGAACGCUGGCGGCGUGCUUAACACAUGCAAGUCGAGCGAAGCGCCCGGAAGUUUUCGGACGGAUGGGUGACUGAGCGGCGGACGGGUGAGUAACGCGUGGGUAACCUGCCUCAUACAGGGGGAUAACAGUUAGAAAUGACUGCUAAUACCGCAUAAGCGCACAGGACUGCAUGGUCUGGUGUGAAAAACUCCGGUGGUAUGGGAUGGACCCGCGUUGGAUUAGGCAGUUGGCGGGGUAACGGCCCACCAAACCGACGAUCCAUAGCCGGCCUGAGAGGGUGAACGGCCACAUUGGGACUGAGACACGGCCCAAACUCCUACGGGAGGCAGCAGUGGGGAAUAUUGCACAAUGGGGGAAACCCUGAUGCAGCGACGCCGCGUGAGUGAAGAAGUUAUUCGUAAUGUAAAGCUCUAUCAGCAGGGAAGAAAAUGACGGUACCUGACUAAGAAGCCCCGGCUAACUACGUGCCAGCAGCCGCGGUAAUACGUAGGGGGCAAGCGUUAUCCGGAUUUACUGGGUGUAAAGGGAGCGUAGACGGCUUUGCAAGUCUGAUGUGAAAGGCAGGGGCUCAACCCCUGGACUGCAUUGGAAACUGCAGAGCUCGAGUGCCGGAGGGGUAAGCGGAAUUCCUAGUGUAGCGGUGAAAUGCGUAGAUAUUAGGAGGAACACCAGUGGCGAAGGCGGCUUACUGGACGGUAACUGACGUUGAGGCUCGAAAGCGUGGGGAGCAAACAGGAUUAGAUACCCUGGUAGUCCACGCCGUAAACGAUGACUACUAGGUGUCGGGGGC